This is a non-coding RNA of Neolamprologus brichardi, 218 nucleotides long. Lineage: Eukaryota; Metazoa; Chordata; Actinopteri; Cichliformes; Cichlidae. The record is from RefSeq and is a predicted model, not a curated record.
UCAGGGCUGCAAUUGAAGAGAAUGCCUAUAAUCGGAUGAAGAAGGUGGUAAAGUGGUACAUCUCUGGAUUUUACAAAAAGCCAAAGGGGUUGAAGAAGCCCUACAAUCCCAUUAUUGGAGAGAUGUUCCGCUGCAUGUGGCUCCAUCAGAAGACCAAUAGCAAGACCUUCUACAUCGCAGAACAGGUAUCUCAUCACCCUCCAGUAUCAGCCUUCUAU